Small nuclear RNA from Pteronotus mesoamericanus, 133 nucleotides. RefSeq annotates it as U11 spliceosomal RNA. The record is from RefSeq and is a predicted model, not a curated record. The transcript has a single exon. Lineage: Eukaryota; Metazoa; Chordata; Mammalia; Chiroptera; Mormoopidae.
AAAAAUGGCUUCUGUAGUGAGAGGCACACGUAGGGCAUCUUGAUUGUUCUACGUGGGAACUGACAUCAACAGAUUUUGGAAGCAUAAUUUUUUGGUACCUGGGCUGCUACUGAUUGUUGGUCCUGGCAACUGC